AGCGAACGCUGGCGGCAGGCCUAACACAUGCAAGUCGAACGAACCUUUCGGGGUUAGUGGCGGACGGGUGAGUAACACGUGGGAACGUGCCUUUAGGUUCGGAAUAACUCAGGGAAACUUGUGCUAAUACCGAAUGUGCCCUUCGGGGGAAAGAUUAAUCGCCUUUAGAGCGGCCCGCGUCUGUUUAGCUAGUUGGUUGAGGUAAUGGCUCACCAAGGCGACGAUCAGUAGCUGGUCUGAGAGGCUGAUCAGCCACAUUGGGACUGAGACACGGCCCAAACUCCUACGGGAGGCAGCAGUGGGGAAUCUUGCGCAAUGGGCGAAAGCCUGACGCAGCCAUGCCGCGUGAAUGAUGAAGGUCUUAGGAUUGUAAAAUUCUUUCACCGGGGACGAUAAUGACGGUACCCGGAGAAGAAGCCCCGGCUAACUUCGUG
RNAcentral lists this ribosomal RNA (434 nucleotides) under uncultured bacterium. RNAcentral describes it as "partial 16S ribosomal RNA". It matches the Rfam family "Bacterial small subunit ribosomal RNA", at positions 29 to 507 of the family's 1533-position model. The record is from RNAcentral.